UUUUUUUUUUUUUUUUGCAUAUAAAGUUUAUCAUCUAAUCACUCACAGAAUAAAGUGCCGAGCAACAUUUGAGUAAUCAGACUGAAUGCAUAAAUAUCUUGUAGUUACACAGUUGUUACAGCAUAUCAUUUCUUAGUUAGUUUUCUGCUUUUACAGCUAUCAUCAGUAGUGACUUCAAUCCCCUCCUAAACAGUAACUGGUCUCUUCAGAAAUGAUCUCAGGUGGGGAAGGAAGAGGGAAACCUUGUUUCUCCCGCUGCUGACACCAGCAGGCACAAAUGAAGGUGAUGAGCAACGAUUACUUCCCUGGACACUUCGGGAUUUGCCAAUUUCCCACAUGACCUCAAAGACAAUAGAUCCCAAACUCUGGCACUCCCACAAGUGGCCUUCUAUUUUUGACACUGUGGAAGGUAUCAUACAUUAAAAACAGGUCCCACAGCCAGCAUGUGUGCUCCUCUCCACAGUGCAACAAGUGCCAUUUUCCCCUUUCAAGGCCUUGCUCCCCCAGCAUGGGCCUCAUUGACAAAAUUUAUGAGUCUUGCCACUGGUAGGGCAAAGUUGCUGCCUCCAGUGAGCUCUGGUGCUGUCUUCAGUUUCUGCACACAGCAGCUCAGGGUGUUACAGCUCACCUGGAGAUUUCAAAAAUUAAAGUUAAAUGCUUACACCUUCUUAUAUAUACACCAAGUAUUUUGUUUCUAAUUCUUGAACUAAUUUCCACUUCCUACCCCAAAAUAGCCAUGCUUCAAGAAGGUACUGUUUUCUCAGGAAGAAUUAAAUUUAUUUAACUUUCUCAUUGUCUUCUAUAUGCAAGACUCACUGGCUUCAGAUUGUGUCCCCUGAUGUAAGAUAGUUAUUUAACCAUCAAUGCACCAUCCUUUCAAACAGAAGAAAUCGUGGUCUUGGGAAACAAGGUCCAGGAAUCCUGACUGCUUCGCAGGAGUGGGGGCAACAGGAACACAUUUUCUAUGGAAAUUUUCUAGACAGCUCAGCCAAUAAUUCCAAAUGAAAGCAAAUACAAACAUUUGUUAACAAAAAACAGUCCCCUCAUACAUGAAAAGUAUAUUGACAACAUCUCCUUGGCCAGUACAUAUAAAUUUAGCAGAGAGAGAUAACAACUGGAACCCCAUAUACAUUACUAGGGAGGUGCUCAUAUUGAAGUGAACAGAGAUGCUCUGAACACUUCUAUGUUUCAGAGGCAUCUGACUCAUUUUUAAAGGAGAUGUAAUUCCAAUAGUCUGAUGGUUUAGAGAUCACAUACUCCACUUGCCAUCUAGGAUAUCGGCCUCAUAAACCGAUAUUCCGAAUCAGCUUUUUGUUUGGUAAAGACCCUUUUAAGUUCAUCCUGUUUUCUGUGGCAUUCAAAAUACCAAUUAAGGGAUAGAUGAAUGAGAAAGCAGGCAAGAAUGAUGCAGGAAUGGCCUAAAGUUGCAUCAGGGAAAUUUUAGGUUUUAUAUUAGUAAAAGAUUCUUCACCCAGAGCACGGUUGGGCACUGGAACUGGGUCCCCAAGGAAGCAGUCACAGCACAAAACCUGACAGAGGUCAAGAAGAUUUUGGAAAAUGCUUUUGUGCACAUGGUAUGACUCUUUGUAUAUCUUCAGGUUUCCAAUACUGAGAAACAAGAAAAUCACAAGGAGACACAAACCAGGGAAGGUGGCACCUUCGUAGUGUCCAACAUAACCCCUUUCUAGUAAUCUUUCAGGUUUAGCACACCUGGAAUAUCUAGCAGAUCUAGCAAGAGGCCCUGAAACAGCUAUUAGCAUCUGGCACCUACCACUGCAAGCACUUUCUCAUGUGAAACAGAAGCAGCACUACCAGCCAGUUCCCACUGGGAAUAGACAUCAUGCUGUCCCCAAUGGGGAAAACACACUGAUAAAUUGGCUAAAAACACUGAGAUUUGCUGGUUCCAUGCAAAGCACUGAAAUAGAGCCACCUGCAAAAUUAAAUAGGCCACAUAAAUAGGUCCUCAUAUCUCAGGCACAGCAGACACAAAUAACUUACAGACCAAGCAGCCAGGCAGGGAAGCUUGCUGCCGCUCUCCUUUGCCUGUUUGUCCAGCGGGAACGCAGACUCAAGCAUGCAUAUUAAAACUCACAGCAUUUCUGCAAAGCUGGCAGCAAGGGAGAGGGCAGCACACCUGAAGCACUCUUCACUCUCAUCAAGCUGUGCUGAAGCGGCCUGGGAGGAGCUGAUUGCAAUCACAGUCUCCUGCUGAGCCAGAGGGACACCACAGAAGGCUGUAUCCAGCUGGACUGGACUAAGAUGUAGUAACAGUGGCCACAAAGAAUGAAGGCUCAAAAUAAAAGAAUGAAUUUUGGGACAGCAGAAUGAUGGAUGCACCAUGUAUCUGUGAUCAAAUCAGAAAUUAGACUACAUCCCAGGACACUGUAUUCAUAUGUAGGUAAGUAUAAGCAAAUGUACCUGCAGAACAGCUCUUUUAUGAGUAAGGCGCACUAAUCGAGGGCUUCAGCUCAGGGCUCCUAAAAAACAUUCUUCUUUGUUAUUUUUUAAAAAAUAAAAGCCCCUUCAUCUCCCAAUCAAUUCAUAUCAGAAGAGAAACACAGUAAUUCACCAUCAAUUUUAUAUGUUAGCUUUUACUGGAAGCAUUCAAUUUCUGUAAUGAAUGAAUGUCUACUUAAGUGUUUUAGGGCUCAGACCUCCAGUCACAUUUAGCUUAGGAAGAGCUGCAUUGGCAUUCCAAACUCAGAUGAGGUCAAAAUAAACCAUGACUUUUUCCAGAAGACCUCUUUACUGCUCCCUUGCUCCCAUAAGACCAAAAAAAGUCCAAAACAAAGCAAACAACAACAAGAAAAAAACCAAAAACACCAAACAAAAAACAGACAAAAAAAUAAAAAAAAAAGACAAAAAACCCCUCAACAAACAAAGAGUAACCCCAAUAAGAAAACACUGACCAUAUCCUUAUAUUAGACCAGCUUUUAGGAACCAAGAAUAUUUCAGGAAAAAAAAAAGUAAAUAUAGGUGGAAAAAUAUACAUAGUUCAAGCUUAUUUCAUAUUCUGUGCAACUUCCAUGCAUGGUUUCAUAUGCAGAAAUGGCUUUAAAAUUCCUUACAGAUACCCUGUUACUGCUUAGUAUCUCCAAGGUCUGGCUGGCACAGUGCAUUUCUUUGAUUCAUAAAUGACUUGUUGUUACUUCAGAGAGUGUCUACAAAAAGCUGUUCAGGGUUUUUGACAUUCCAAGUUACCAGCCUGGCAAAACAAAUCGCUGUCUUUCACAAAGCCCCUUCUUCAUUUGACAGAGCCCUUGAAGCCAGCGGGCAAAGGCCUGAACUAAGACGCCUGCAUCCAUCGUCUCCUUUCCGUCUGUUCUCCUCGUGCCUCCCCGAGAAGUUGGAUCAAAGCAUCCCCAUGGGGACAUCUCAUUAAAAAGCAACUCCCUUCCUUGACCAGGUCACCAGCAGCAUUACACAAGGUUGCAAGUUCUUGUCCAUCAGACAAUGCUUAUAAAUAGCACAGGGAUAGUACUCUCCUUCCAUUUUUAACAACAAUUGCAGAAAUCUCGCAGAAGGACUCCAGAAUGAUGGGAGAAAGGUUAUUCCUCUAACACACUUCUCCUUUAGACACACCUGACCACAUUAGGAAAAAGCAGCUCAAAGACAUGAAAUUUAACAUUAAAGAAAAGACACCAACAAAACCCCAAGGGAGUGCUUCGAGCAGAAGAACUAACACAGCCUUAUUUUCUACACAUUUGCAUCUCAUGAUUGAUAGACUUCAGUGCAGAAGGAAGAGAAAGCCCCAGCUGAAAUUUUGCCUGCCUUUUGGGCAUUUAUAACAACUCACUCCUGUGGAUUUUUGCAUGUAUUAAGGUUUGUUUUCAUGCUGUAGAGUCUCCUGCAUUGAGGAAUUCAGAAGGCCUUAGGGGAAGCAUUUUUACUUAGCUUAGCCUUUACUGCAAAGGAAGGCCAUGCCAGUACAGCAGCAGAAACAAAAAAGUGCUAUUAAUUUGUUGACAUGUGGUAACUUGAGAGAGCCUGAGUCCAUAGACAACUUGAUCUUGUCUGGGCUAGAGUGAAUUGGAGUCCAGAGGAAACCAUCAUUUUGUUUGGUCAUGAGGCACGGAAACAGAAACAUUUAUGACCAAAUAGGUAUGUCAGAAGCCCAUAGGCACCAUUUACGUAAAGUUUUGCCCAAGCAUUUCCUGUUGAAAUAGCAUUUUACACCCGAGACCAAGCUCUGAUAAUCCCCACAUGCUCAGACCAGCCUUGGUGGUAGGAGAAGCUCCUGAAGUCUCUCAAGCAGCACAGCUGCGAGAAUGGAGACACCUCAAACUAGAGGCCAAAUGUUGAAAACAGAGACCCCAUCAAGCUACCAAAAACUCCCAGAAGGAAGCAGAAACACAGGUUUAAGCAGCAUUGCAGCUGCUGCUUCUGAGAAGCACAGGAAAGAGUGCAAGUGCUGAUCAUUGAUACCCACUGCAAGCACAGCGCUGCUGGGACGCACCACGCACCGGCAGCUCCACCGAAUGUCAGCGCUUCAGGCGGAGCCGCCACUUCCUUGGCACACACGAGUCCCGGGCGCUCUUUGUGCCUGAAGCAAUUUUACAUGAGACAGCGACAAAAUAAUUAAACUUUGAAUCCUCCAGAAAUAGAAGGCUGCACUUGUCAUUGCUGAGUCCCUCCUGCUAACAGGGAGCAUGUUGAUGGUGAGCGACAUCACCUGGGCUCAAGGUGACAAACCAGACUUUUCUCACAAAUUAGUAUCCUGCUGCACCACCCAGGAGGGAGACCCCUUUUAUCCUUUAAGCACUGUGCUUAAAUAUUAGAUUAUUUUCUUACUCUGAAUCUUAAGCUAGCACUGCAGGUGGACAAGAGAUGAGCAAUGAGGUUUACAUUGUAGAAUUCCCAAACAAUGCCAUCAAGCACUUGCACCCUGCAAAAUGAUCAGCUAGGUAAUCAAAAUCUUGUCUGUAAAAAAGGUUUACAAGUCUGUCAAACCCUUCAAAAUCCUGUCAGUUAUGCCUCUCAAUUUAAACAAUCCCAUCUAUUUAAACCCGUUUCUCUCAUUUUCUUUCAGUGUGACUGUCUCAGACCCUUUAUUGACCCAUCAAUUCCCCAAAUUGUGAGGUUGCUCCACAGCACAUUACAAAACCUAUGACCAUUUGUUUUACCAUAGCAGCAAACUUGACUAAAAUUAGUGCCUAAAUUGUGCCCAACUGUACAAAUACACAGCAGACACUUCCUGCCCAGAUCAUGUAACCAUAUAAAUAUACAUGAUAAGGGAACAUAGUAUUAUAUGCCUUCACAGAAGGUAAAUGAGAAACAUCCUGUGAACUAUCC
Molecule: long non-coding RNA, 5292 nt
Filed under: Taeniopygia guttata (zebra finch)
Lineage: Eukaryota; Metazoa; Chordata; Aves; Passeriformes; Estrildidae
Description: lncRNA (ENSTGUG00000026028.1)
Source: RNAcentral